UCUGUAAACGAUUAGCAAACGAUUAUUGCCUUUUCUUUAAUCUUUAUUAUUACGAUCGACGAAUCGUCGUGCAUAGAACGAGAGUUGAACGAGUUUUAUGAACCGUUCCGCGAUAUGCAUUCAUACCGUAUAUGUUGCGCGCGCAUAAUAAACGAUAAAUCAAUUUAACGCGUUUAAUCCUUCGUUCGCUCGUAAGUAUUUUGCGUAUAUUCGAUGAUAUCGCACGAGGCGGGAAAAAGGUAUAGAUUUCGCAUUCCAGGUUAAUGGAUCGGUUUGCCGCGGCGUAAAAGAUAAAAUCGCGGCGUUACGUGUACGAUUGCGACAACUUCCGGCGUUUCUCGAGACGUUGUCGUCGUCAUCGUCGAAUAAUGGUUUCGAAGCGAAGAAUUGUGACUUUCGAUCGAAUUCCAAAUGAAUUUCGUUCUAUCCAAGAUGAGCGCGUUUUAUUGCUGCGCGAUAAUCGAGGAGAGCGGAAGGAGAUAAAGGAAAAAUAUUAUACGAGAAAGAACGGUGUCAACGUUUAUACAGUUGUUUAUGCGAACUGUCAAUACAAUAACGAGAGUAUCGUGUGCCGAAAAAAUAUAUAUAUAUAUAUUUCGUUGGCAUUGCAAAAUAUAAUGGAUAAAGGAAACGUUUGUAAUAUAAUUCGUGAAUAUAAUCGUUGGAGAACAGGUAUCGGGUAGAUUUUCUGAUUUAUACACUUUAUUGAAAUGUUACCACCACACAGGCAAGCAAACGUAGAUAUCUUAAAACGAGCGAAAUAUUCAUUUUUGACGAUAAUAGGUAGGAACGUCGAGUUAUCGCUAUCUACACGGCAAUAAGUAUACACCUUUGUUAAAAAAAAAAGUUUAACAACAAUAUUGCCGGAAAGCGUCGACUAAUCUAAAAACGGGCAUAAACAUUUUUCACCUCGUUGAUAAAAUAAUGCGACACGUCGAGAUCUUGUAAACCCGGUGGUCCCCUUCUCCAAGUGGGAAAUAACUUGGAGAUCGUCGUACAAGAUAAAAAUUAUACAAAAAAAAAAAAAAA
This is a long non-coding RNA of Apis florea (little honeybee), 1029 nucleotides long. The record is from RefSeq and is a predicted model, not a curated record. Lineage: Eukaryota; Metazoa; Arthropoda; Insecta; Hymenoptera; Apidae.